RNAcentral lists this unclassified non-coding RNA (348 nucleotides) under soil metagenome. RNAcentral describes it as "partial contains 5.8S ribosomal RNA, internal transcribed spacer 2, and large subunit ribosomal RNA". The stretch from base 1 to 120 matches the Rfam family "5.8S ribosomal RNA", at positions 35 to 154 of the family's 154-position model. The record is from RNAcentral.
GAUGAAGAACGUAGCGAAAUGCGAAAAGUAAUGUGAAUUGCAGAAUUCAGUGAAUCAUCGAAUCUUUGAACGCACAUUGCGCCCGCCAGUAUUCUGGCGGGCAUGCCUGUCUGAGCGUCAUUUCAACCCUCAUGUCCCUAGGGCGUGGUGUUGGGGAUCGGCCAGCGCCCGCGAGGGACGGCCGGCCCCUAAAUCUAGUGGCGGACCCGUCGUGGCCUCCCCUGCGAAGUAGUGAUAUUCCGCAUAGGAGAGCGACGAGCCCCUGCCGUUAAACCCCCAACUUUCUAAGGUUGACCUCAGAUCAGGUAGGAAUACCCGCUGAACUUAAGCAUAUCAAUAAGCGGAGGA